UACGGGGGGGGCAAGCGUUGUUCGGAAUUACUGGGCGUAAAGGGCUCGUAGGCGGCCAACUAAGUCAGACGUGAAAUCCCUCGGCUUAACCGGGGAACUGCGUCUGAUACUGGGUGGCUUGAAUCCGGGAGAGGGAUGCGGAAUUCCAGGUGUAGCGGUGAAAUGCGUAGAUAUCUGGAGGAACACCGGUGGCGAAGGCGGCAUCCUGGACCGGUAUUGACGCUGAUGCGCGAAAGCCAGGGGAGCAAACGGG
RNAcentral lists this ribosomal RNA (253 nucleotides) under uncultured bacterium. RNAcentral describes it as "partial 16S ribosomal RNA". It matches the Rfam family "Bacterial small subunit ribosomal RNA", at positions 524 to 776 of the family's 1533-position model. The record is from RNAcentral.